RNAcentral lists this unclassified non-coding RNA (339 nucleotides) under soil metagenome. RNAcentral's name for it is "partial contains 5.8S ribosomal RNA, internal transcribed spacer 2, and large subunit ribosomal RNA". The stretch from base 1 to 120 matches the Rfam family "5.8S ribosomal RNA", at positions 35 to 154 of the family's 154-position model. The record is from RNAcentral.
GAUGAAGAACGCAGCGAAAUGCGAUAAGUAGUGUGAAUUGCAGAAUUCAGUGAAUCAUCGAAUCUUUGAACGCACAUUGCGCCCUUUGGUAUUCCAAAGGGCAUGCCUGUUCGAGCGUCAUUUGUACCCUCAAGCUUUGCUUGGUGUUGGGCGUCUUGUCUCUAGCUUUGCUGGAGACUCGCCUUAAAGUAAUUGGCAGCCGGCCUACUGGUUUCGGAGCGCAGCACAAGUCGCACUCUCUAUCAGCAAAGGUCUAGCAUCCAUUAAGCCUUUUUUCAACUUUUGACCUCGGAUCAGGUAGGGAUACCCGCUGAACUUAAGCAUAUCAAAAGCGGAGGA